RNAcentral lists this ribosomal RNA (512 nucleotides) under uncultured bacterium. RNAcentral's name for it is "bacterial SSU rRNA". It matches the Rfam family "Bacterial small subunit ribosomal RNA", at positions 34 to 518 of the family's 1533-position model. The record is from RNAcentral.
CGCUGGCGGCGUGCCUAAUACAUGCAAGUCGAACGGUCUUUCUAUGGAAGCUUGCUUCCACUGAGAAGAUAGUGGCGAACGGGUGAGUAACACGUGGGUAACCUGCCCAUAAGAGGGGGAUAACAUCCGGAAACGGGUGCUAAUACCGCAUAGUUUUCUUGAUCGCAUGAUCGGGAAAGGAAAGACGGCCUUUGUGCUGUCGCUUAUGGAUGGACCCGCGGCGUAUUAGUUAGUUGGUGAGGUAACGGCUCACCAAGACGAUGAUACGUAGCCGACCUGAGAGGGUGAUCGGCCACAUUGGGACUGAGACACAGCCCAAACUCCUACGGGAGGCAGCAGUAGGGAAUCUUCCGCAAUGGACGAAAGUCUGACGGAGCAACGCCGCGUGAGUGAAGAAGGUUUUCGGGAAUCGUAAAACUCUGUUGUCAGAGAAGAACAAGUUGGAGAGUAACUGCUCCAGCCUUGACGGUAUCUGACCAGAAAGCCACGGCUAACUACGUGCCAGCAGCUGC